RNAcentral lists this ribosomal RNA (796 nucleotides) under Ralstonia sp. M1. RNAcentral's name for it is "bacterial SSU rRNA". It matches the Rfam family "Bacterial small subunit ribosomal RNA", at positions 65 to 854 of the family's 1533-position model. The record is from RNAcentral. Lineage: Bacteria; Pseudomonadati; Pseudomonadota; Betaproteobacteria; Burkholderiales; Burkholderiaceae.
CGCAGCGGGGGAAAGCUUGCUUUCCUGCCGGCGAGUGGCGAACGGGUGAGUAAUACAUCGGAACGUGCCCUGUAGUGGGGGAUAACUAGUCGAAAGAUUAGCUAAUACCGCAUACGACCUGAGGGUGAAAGUGGGGGACCGCAAGGCCUCAUGCUAUAGGAGCGGCCGAUGUCUGAUUAGCUAGUUGGUGGGGUAAAGGCCUACCAAGGCGACGAUCAGUAGCUGGUCUGAGAGGACGAUCAGCCACACUGGGACUGAGACACGGCCCAGACUCCUACGGGAGGCAGCAGUGGGGAAUUUUGGACAAUGGGCGAAAGCCUGAUCCAGCAAUGCCGCGUGUGUGAAGAAGGCCUUCGGGUUGUAAAGCACUUUUGUCCGGAAAGAAAUGGCUCUGGUUAAUACCCGGAGUUGAUGACGGUACCGGAAGAAUAAGGACCGGCUAACUACGUGCCAGCAGCCGCGGUAAUACGUAGGGUCCAAGCGUUAAUCGGAAUUACUGGGCGUAAAGCGUGCGCAGGCGGUUGUGCAAGACCGAUGUGAAAUCCCCGGGCUUAACCUGGGAAUUGCAUUGGUGACUGCACGGCUAGAGUGUGUCAGAGGGAGGUAGAAUUCCACGUGUAGCAGUGAAAUGCGUAGAGAUGUGGAGGAAUACCGAUGGCGAAGGCAGCCUCCUGGGAUAACACUGACGCUCAUGCACGAAAGCGUGGGGAGCAAACAGGAUUAGAUACCCUGGUAGUCCACGCCCUAAACGAUGUCAACUAGUUGUUGGGGAUUCAUUUCCUUAGUAACGUAGCUA